Molecule: unclassified non-coding RNA, 451 nt
Filed under: Hevea brasiliensis (rubber tree)
Lineage: Eukaryota; Viridiplantae; Streptophyta; Magnoliopsida; Malpighiales; Euphorbiaceae
Source: RNAcentral
GUAAUCGUUAAUAGCAAAGAAAAAAAAUAUAAUAAUAUUACAUUUUUACACAUAAAAAUGUGAAUUUUUUUUAUAAUAAGUAUUUUGUAUUUUAUUUCUAUAUGCUAAUGUAUAAUGGAAAAGAAACGAUGCAACCUUGGCUUAGUAAUGCUUAAUAGAAAUUAACGUUUUUGGGCGCAUUUACUUCAUUUUCUUAUUAUUUUGCUUCUAUUAUGCGAAAAUUGUAUUUUGAAUGGGCAAAGUAGAUUGAAAAUCCAAAUGAGAUGUGAUUUUCCUUAAUCUCGUUAAUUUUCUUGCCCCUUGUUGAUAACAGGUAGAGCUUGGGAUCCAGUAUAUGCUCUGUUUUCUUAUAUUCUUCACGGUAGCAAAUAUUGUUGUAAGACUUGGCCAAUCAGUGUGAUAAGAUGGGCGUACAAAUUGAUUAGAUUAAGGUUAUUUUUGUCAAAUAAUA